GGGGGAGUAGUUCAAUUGGCGAGAGCGUCGGAUUCCAAAUCCGGUUGUUGCAGGUUCGAGUCCUGUCUCCCCUG
Molecule: transfer RNA, 74 nt
Filed under: Erwinia phage vB_EamM_Huxley
Lineage: Duplodnaviria; Heunggongvirae; Uroviricota; Caudoviricetes; Chimalliviridae
Also listed under: 1 other name
Rfam family: tRNA
About the family: Transfer RNA (tRNA) molecules are approximately 80 nucleotides in length. Their secondary structure includes four short double-helical elements and three loops (D, anti-codon, and T loops). Further hydrogen bonds mediate the characteristic L-shaped molecular structure. tRNAs have two regions of fundamental functional importance: the anti-codon, which is responsible for specific mRNA codon recognition, and the 3' end, to which the tRNAs corresponding amino acid is attached (by aminoacyl-tRNA synthetases). tRNAs cope with the degeneracy of the genetic code in two manners: having more than one tRNA (with a specific anti-codon) for a particular amino acid; and 'wobble' base-pairing, i.e. permitting non-standard base-pairing at the 3rd anti-codon position.
Source: Rfam by way of RNAcentral